CUAGCUUGCUAGGUGGAUUAGUGGCGCACGGGUGAGUAAUAUAUAGAUAACGUGCCUCUUAGUCUGGGAUAGCCAUUGGAAACGAUGAUUAAUACUAGAUACUCCUUCUAACUCUAAUGUUAGUCGGGAAAGUUUUUCGCUAAGAGAUCGGUCUAUAUCCCAUCAGCUAGUUGGUAGUGUAAGAGACUACCAAGGCAAUGACGGGUAGCGGGUUUGAGAGGAUGAUCCGCCACACUGGUACUGAGACACGGACCAGACUCCUACGGGAGGCAGCAGUGAGGAAUAUUGCACAAUGGAGGAAACUCUGAUGCAGCAACGCCACGUGGAGGAUGACGCAUUUCGGUGUGUAAACUCCUUUUAUAUGUCAAGAAAAUGACGGUAGCACAUGAAUAAGCACCGGCUAACUCCGUGCCAGCAGCCGCGGUAAUACGGAGGGUGCAAGCGUUAUUCGGAAUCACUGG
This 461-nucleotide ribosomal RNA is filed under the name uncultured Campylobacterota bacterium. RNAcentral's name for it is "bacterial SSU rRNA". It matches the Rfam family "Bacterial small subunit ribosomal RNA", at positions 75 to 557 of the family's 1533-position model. Lineage: Bacteria; Pseudomonadati; Campylobacterota. The record is from RNAcentral.